Aegilops tauschii subsp. strangulata is the source of this 3258-nucleotide non-coding RNA. The record is from RefSeq and is a predicted model, not a curated record. NCBI's taxonomy places the organism in Eukaryota, Viridiplantae, Streptophyta, Magnoliopsida, Poales, Poaceae.
UCGCUCCUCCCGCACAGCCGCACUCGCGCCGCCCCCUUCCUCUUCCUCCCGCCUCACCUCUCUCUCUCCUUCCAAACCCUAGGCCCGAGCCCGCCAUCGCUGCUUUGCCCUCCCUCUCUCCGACCCGACCCGCCACCCUCCUCUGCACCUUCGCCACCGGCCAUGUCCGCCCCCACCAGCAGCUUGGCCCGGCACCGAGCGACGCCGAGAGCUAGCCGCAUCGGGCGGUGUUGGCGCCGACGGCGCCGUCCGCGUCCACGCGCCUCUGUCGUCUCCUUCCUUCCCCCGGCUGGCCGCAUCCAUAUCCUCUCUGUCGCCGUCCGACCCAGAUGCGGCCGCAGUCCGCCGGCGCCGCAGGCGGAGGAGAGUAGAGAGGCGCCGCGGGUCAACGGCGUCAGGUGCGUCGGCGCCACGCGGCUCGACUGCCGCAACGGCACCAACACCUUCGUGCUAAUUACGCGCGGCAAGGUCCCCGACAUGACGGCCGCCGUGGUGGACUUUCGUGCCAUCCUCGCGGACUGCGCGCAGAGGUGCCUGGGUGGCUGCUCGUGCACGGCGUACGCCAGCGCCAAGCUCAGUGGCGUGCCAUGGACCAGCACACUCGAGGUCCUCCGCGUGUUCCCCAACUUCAGCCGGGACCUGUAUGUGCGCCUUGCCGCUUCUCAUCUUGGAGGGUCACGGCCAAUGCUCUCCCCGAUCUAACUACACGACCAGCCAAAUGAUAUGCCGUGGAUUCACUGUCCAGUUUGUCAGUCUGGGUUCAUAAGCUGCUGCUCCUUUGGAUUGGUUGGGUCUGCACCUGUUGCUGUUUUGGAUUGGCUGGGUCUGCAGCUGCUGCUCCUUUGGAUUGACCUCUAUUUGGUUUAUGCAUUCCAUUUUUCUAGGUGGAUCAGUAUGACUAGCUAGAAUUCAUAUAGAACCAUAUGUGUAUGUAAGUGUUGUUUGAUGCGUUUGUGCUCGUCGGCGGGACGGUGCAAGGCGCAACUCCGACGCGGUUCCUCGCCGGUUGGACGGCGUUCAGGCGCAACCCCGGCGCGCACUGAGUAUUGCCUCGGCUACAACCUCCCUCGGUGAACUCCAUCUUCCUCCUGCUCCUCUGCUUUGGCUACUGUAUCCAGAAACAUGAGACGGAUCGAAACCUGAGCGUUCUCAGCGAUUAGAGCAUUCUGGCCGUCCGAUCGUUUCCUUGAUGCUGUUCUGGCCGUUGGAUCUCGGGCUCGGUCGCUGUGGGCCGUCAGAUAUUUACCCGAUCGUCUCCAACCGUCGGAUAUUUUCCCCUGUGAGCGGUGUCCCGCCCGGCCGUGCCAACGCGCGUUAUUUGGGUGCCCCCCGAGGGUAUUCUCAUCAUUUCGCUUUGUCUGUGGCGGUGGCGUUCGUGCUAGGGCGAUGAUGAUUAACUGUGGCUGAAAUAAGUUUGCCUUUGAGCAAUCGAGGCACCUGUGGGGUAUCAAGUUGGGUCCUCCCUGUUGUCUCUGGAGAAUCCUUUUUGAUCCUGUGAUACCUAUUGAUCUGUCCUUGGAUGGUCAUUCUUGUUGAUUGAUAACCAGGGCAGCUCCAUUGUAUAAACAGAUUGAUCUGGUGAUAAGAGAUGAUGGGGGUAGGUUAUAUGAUCGAGGAAAGGCGAAUCUGAGCCCACUAUGCAAUGAACAUCAAACCCUUUUUAUUUGUGUUUAAAGGCGUUGCUUACUUAUGCUCCAGUGUUUAUAGCCGUCUUAUGUAAAGAUUUAUUCUCUCUUAUAACUUUAUUGCAUAAGUUGUUCUUGAUCUUUUAUUGUUUGUUGUUGGUCCUUGAUUUAGUCUGGUUAGGAUUUCUUCUCUGUCUUAUGUAAAGAUUUCUUCUCUCUCAUACCAAUGUUUUGUCCAUGUAGUAACAGAUAUAUAUUUCAAGCAUGACAUGAAUAAACCUGAAUGGUCUUUGAGAUGAGAUGCAUGGUUGUACAAUAUUGGGUACUAAGUUAGAGAUCGGCUGUCCCUAUGAAUGCAAACUAUUGUUAGCUAUAAAUAUGUUUGCCUCCUACAGUGUUUGGCCUAAUUAGUUAUUGGGUUGAUUUUGGUAGUUCUACUUUUUUGCUGCCAACAAUCUGCAAGUUAAUGUUCAGGGUGUGCUUUGGCCUUGGGAUUCUUUACUGUUUUUAUUCUAGAUGUGGUGGUCUUAUUAGUCAGAUCAACAUUUCUUUUAUCGGGCUUUACAUGGCUAAUAUGCAUAUCCGGUAGAACAGAGUCUGCUCAUGCAUUCUUAUGCUAUUUUCACGUGUGUUUAUCUGUCUUGUGUUCAGCUGGUUUUUCCCUUCAGUCAGUUCAUUGCAUGAAACAAGCACUAUAGCUGACAUGUAACUCGAGUGCCUGACAUGUAACUUGAGUAUUCAGUGCAUAUAGUUUGUGCCUUUGUGUAUGCACAUUUUUCUUUCUUUCUUAGAAAGCUGCUAUUUUCAUUUAUUUGGAGAACACCUCUGAAUUUUUAUUGCACAUGAAACGAGUCGCUGUCACUACCCAGCACAUGAGUACUCAAUGUGUGUAUUUUGAGGUCUACGUCUUCAAAAGAAAUUUGACUAUUUAUUAUAUGGGGAACUAUAGUUAGUAGCGUGUAACUAGACUCCUAUUUGGAGCAAUGGCAUCGUUGAUACUGGUCUCUGAUUUAUGAUUUGAUCCACCGCCCCUCCAGCCUGCCCCUCCAGUACCGCGGUUUUUUUUUUUGCAUGAGGUUUCUGGAUAAUUUGCAGUUCGGUCGGUGCCGUGGCGGAGGGUUGUCUUGUGGUUUGACCGGAGAGGGAGCACACCAGAGGAGCGAUCUCGUCCCCAUUGGUCAGCACAUUUACCUGCGAAUCUCCAGGCUAUGGUACCAGCGGGGUGGCUUCGAUGAUGGCCCUGUCAAGAGUAUACAUAUGGUCAUGACCGACGAAAGGGAAAUCAUGCCAACGGGACGGUGCCUAAUGAGGUCAUAGACAUGUUUGUGGACACUUUGAAUGAGAGAAAUUUAUACAAGCGUGCCAGGAUCUAUGUGAGGCAGUGGAAGGCACGUAUACGUUAUGGUUCACUAGAUCAACAAUUGUCCAUCACCUUGAGGGUGUUCCAUUUGGUCAUGUCUAUUAACAUGCUUAGUUGCUUCUUCUUUAUUAUGUUUCUGCUCCAAUAACUUUCUCAUAUUAUAUCACUUUUGUUAUUAACCAUCGUAUCGAAUGGCUGCGCUUUUGGUUUUGAGGUUCCUGUCGAGUGACUUUUUUUUAAUCUAAUGAACGAGCUGAGAUCAAUUAUGCCUUA